AUGGCGCGGCCCACCGCCAGAUCCCGCACCUGUGGAGAGCCCCUCCCUAGGGUUUCCCCCCCAGGACGCUGCGCCACCGACGACAAGCCGACCGCGCCGCGCGACGGAGAUGCCACCCCCAGGAUCCCUGGUCGUCGCCCCGGCGGCAGCCCAGCGGAGGGAGGGGAAGGUGAGCAUACCGGCGAAGAGCAGACAACCAAAGCAGAGACCGCACGACGGCAUGGGGGCGACAAAGGGACCAAGGACCGCGCACGCUUAGCAGAUCUGCGACCCCGGCGGCGAGCCACGCACCAGCCAUCCUCCGCCACCAACAGCGAGGACACACGGCCGCUCCUGCCCGCAGCAAACUUACGGGCCUUGGAUGCAGAAAGACGGCGGGGGGAAGGGGAGCAGGCAACAGGGAGGCGGGAUUCAUCCUCGGAGUCGGAAUCGCAAUCGCCCAGGGCCCAGAACCUGUUGGCCUAA
RNAcentral lists this ribosomal RNA (465 nucleotides) under Triticum aestivum (bread wheat). Its description in RNAcentral is "partial small subunit ribosomal RNA". Lineage: Eukaryota; Viridiplantae; Streptophyta; Magnoliopsida; Poales; Poaceae. The record is from RNAcentral.